Molecule: ribosomal RNA, 442 nt
Filed under: uncultured bacterium
Lineage: Bacteria
Description: partial 16S ribosomal RNA
Rfam family: Bacterial small subunit ribosomal RNA
Source: RNAcentral
CCUACGGGUGGCAGCAGUGGGGAAUCUUUCACAAUGGGCGAAAGCCUGAUGGAGCAACGCCGCGUGAGGGAUGAAGGACUUCGGUUUGUAAACUGCUUUUAUAAGCGAGCAAUAUGAUGGUAACUUAUGAAUAAGGCUCGGCUAACUACGUGCCAGCAGCCGCGUUCAUACGUAGGAUCCGAGCAUUAUCCGGAUUGACUGGGGGUAAAGAGUUGCGUAGGUGGCAUAAUAAGUAGCUAGGGAAAUCUGGUGGCUCAACCAUUAAGACUAUUAGUGAAACUGUUAAGCUCGAGAGCGUUAGGGGUAAGUGGAAUUUCUAGUGUAGGAGUGAAAUGCGUAGAUAUUAGAAAGAACACCAGUAGCGUAGGCAGGUUACUGGGACGGUUCUGACACUAAGGCACGAAAGCGUAGGGAGCAAACGGGAUUAGAUACCCGUGUAGUC